Molecule: ribosomal RNA, 501 nt
Filed under: uncultured bacterium
Lineage: Bacteria
Description: partial 16S ribosomal RNA
Rfam family: Bacterial small subunit ribosomal RNA
Source: RNAcentral
AUUGAACGCUGGCGGCAGGCUUAACACAUGCAAGUCGAGCGGAGUGAUGGUGCUUGCACUAUCACUUAGCGGCGGACGGGUGAGUAAUGCUUAGGAAUCUGCCUAUUAGUGGGGGACAACAUCUCGAAAGGGAUGCUAAUACCGCAUACGUCCUACGGGAGAAAGCAGGGGAUCACUUGUGACCUUGCGCUAAUAGAUGAGCCAAAGUCGGAUUAGCUAGUUGGUGGGGUAAAGGCCUAGCAAGGCGACGAUGUGUAGCGGGUCUGAGAGGAUGAUCCGCCGCCCUGGGGAGGGGACACGGCCCCGAAUUCUACGGGAGGCAGGAGUGGGGAAUAUUGGACAAUGGGGGGAACCCUGAUUCAGGCAUGCCGCGUGUGAAGAAGGCCUUAUGGUUGUAAAACACUUUAAGGGAGGAGGAGGGUCUUUUUGUUAAAACCCAAGAUGAGUUGACGGUACUCGGAGAAUAAGCACCGGCUAACUCUGUGCCAGCCGCCGCCGUAA